GGACGGGUGAGUAAUGCCUAGGAAUCUGCCUGGUAGUGGGGGAUAACGUCCGGAAACGGGCGCUAAUACCGCAUACGUCCUGAGGGAGAAAGUGGGGGAUCUUCGGACCUCACGCUAUCAGAUGAGCCUAGGUCGGAUUAGCUAGUUGGUGGGGUAAAGGCCUACCAAGGCGACGAUCCGUAACUGGUCUGAGAGGAUGAUCAGUCACACUGGAACUGAGACACGGUCCAGACUCCUACGGGAGGCAGCAGUGGGGAAUAUUGGACAAUGGGCGAAAGCCUGAUCCAGCCAUGCCGCGUGUGUGAAGAAGGUCUUCGGAUUGUAAAGCACUUUAAGUUGGGAGGAAGGGCAGUAAGUUAAUACCUUGCUGUUUUGACGUUACCAACAGAAUAAGCACCGGCUAACUUCGUGCCAGCAGCCGCGGUAAUACGAAGGGUGCAAGCGUUAAUCGGAAUUACUGGGCGUAAAGCGCGCGUAGGUGGUUCAGCAAGUUGGAUGUGAAAUCCCCGGGCUCAACCUGGGAACUGCAUCCAAAACUACUGAGCUAGAGUACGGUAGAGGGUGGUGGAAUUUCCUGUGUAGCGGUGAAAUGCGUAGAUAUAGGAAGGAACACAAGUGGCGAAGGCGACCACCUGGGCUGAUACUG
Molecule: ribosomal RNA, 646 nt
Filed under: Pseudomonas putida
Lineage: Bacteria; Pseudomonadati; Pseudomonadota; Gammaproteobacteria; Pseudomonadales; Pseudomonadaceae
Description: bacterial SSU rRNA
Rfam family: Bacterial small subunit ribosomal RNA
Source: RNAcentral